AAAAGUUCGAAAAAGAAAGAAAAAGCACGGGCUGAGGGAGAGAGAGACCGAGAGGAAGAGAGAAAAGGGAUUAAAGAAGAGAGUCUUGUGGGAUACCAAGAUUUAAGCUUAAAAUUGUGAAAAAUUCAUCUUAAGGUGAGCAAGUUGAGCAACAAGAAUAGAGAAAGUCUCAGAGUCUACCCGUGUCAGCCUUUGAAGAGCUUCUGGAAUGGAGCAAGUUAGGCUCGAUUAAAGUCAAGAAAAUCAGCCCCUUAGCUUUGUCAAAGUUUGUAAUUCGGAAUAUGACGAGAUGAAUGAUGAAAGUGCUAUAUGAAGGUUCCGCUUUCCUUUUAGUUAGCACCCGGUAAAGCGUGCCGCUUUGACGUAGUUCUGAAACCAAAGAGGUUGUAUACACACAGAGAGAGGAAGCUUAUAAAGAGAAGAAGCUUACAAAGAGAAGAAGCUUACAGAGAUGAAGCUUACAGUUUGAAAACCAGAGAGGUUUAGAUGGCUCAUGGUUUGGCUCAAGGAAAUGAAUGGCUUUAUUGCUUCUUUUUAAGUUAUUUUCAAAAUAUUACUAUUGCUUGAAAACUGCUUUGGAUGACUGUAAUACUUUAUUUUGGAUGGUUGUAUUAAGAUGUUUUAAAUUUUUUGAAUGUCUGUAAUACUUUAUUUUGAAUGGUUGUAUCAUAUGUAAUUUAUGGAUAUCAUAUGCCCUCAUAUGUUUAUAUGAGAUAAUUGUAUUAGAUUUUGUGAUUCAAUACAGGGUGGAAAAAGUG
Molecule: non-coding RNA, 758 nt
Organism: Camellia sinensis
Lineage: Eukaryota; Viridiplantae; Streptophyta; Magnoliopsida; Ericales; Theaceae
Source: RefSeq, a predicted model, not a curated record